This is a long non-coding RNA of Boleophthalmus pectinirostris (great blue-spotted mudskipper), 388 nucleotides long. RefSeq lists it as uncharacterized. NCBI's taxonomy places the organism in Eukaryota, Metazoa, Chordata, Actinopteri, Gobiiformes, Gobiidae. The record is from RefSeq and is a predicted model, not a curated record. The transcript has 3 exons.
CUCGUUAAUGGACGAAGCCUGUUGUUGUCAUUUUUUUCUCUGCGCUUGUUCGGCAAAUUACCCCCAUGACGUCAUCGCGUACAAUAAACACUAGACACGCAACAUCCAAAAAGGACAAACUGGAUGAAGUUCAUGGUCAAACUUACACUUUACAGAGACUGGCUGAUUCCAGCUGUCGCUCAGGCUAACCAGCUGGAGAAGUGGCCACCCAAAAACGUCUGUUUGAGUUGAAAGCUGCGUUAAAUAGAUUCUAUGCAGCCACAUCUGCAGCUGGGGCAGCAUUAGGAGCGGGGGCUUCUUCUACUGUGGCAGCGCUCUCAACGGCCGGAGUCUCCACAGCGACUUCAACUGGAGCAGCCUCCUCAACUACUGCUGCUGCCUCUGUCAC